This 217-nucleotide ribosomal RNA is filed under the name uncultured fungus. Its description in RNAcentral is "partial small subunit ribosomal RNA". The stretch from base 90 to 217 matches the Rfam family "Eukaryotic small subunit ribosomal RNA", at positions 735 to 864 of the family's 1831-position model. Lineage: Eukaryota; Fungi. The record is from RNAcentral.
GGUAUGGCGCGCCCGGUCGAUAGCUCUGCUAUUAGUACUGGUGUGUGCCUGCCAUCCUUCUAGUUAACCAGACGCAUUUAACCGUGCGGCUGGCGAUCUAGAUCUUUUACUUUGAAAAAAUUAGAGUGUUUAAAGCAGGCUUGCGCUAUGAAUACAUUAGCAUGGAAUAAUAAUUUAGGACUUCAUUCCUAUUUUAUUGGUUUCUAGGUUUGAAGUA